This 45-nucleotide non-coding RNA is filed under the name Schistosoma mansoni. Lineage: Eukaryota; Metazoa; Platyhelminthes; Trematoda; Strigeidida; Schistosomatidae. The record is from RNAcentral.
AUCAAGCUGACGAGCUCCAAACAGGACGAAACGCGAGUCCUGGAU